UAGGGAAUCUUCCACAAUGGACGCAAGCCUGAUGGAGCAACGCCGCGUGAGUGAAGAAGGUCUUCGGAUCGUAAAACUCUGUUGUUAGAGAAGAACAUGCGAGAGAGUAACUGUUCUUGUAUUGACGGUAUCUAACCAGAAAGCCACGGCUAACUACGUGCAG
RNAcentral lists this ribosomal RNA (163 nucleotides) under uncultured bacterium. Its description in RNAcentral is "partial 16S rRNA". It matches the Rfam family "Bacterial small subunit ribosomal RNA", at positions 355 to 510 of the family's 1533-position model. The record is from RNAcentral.